CAGUCGACGAUGAUGCCCAGCUUGCUGGGUGGAUUAGUGGCGAACGGGUGAGUAACACGUGAGUAACCUGCCCCUGACUCUGGGAUAAGCGUUGGAAACGACGUCUAAUACUGGAUAUGAUCACUGGCCGCAUGGUCUGGUGGUGGAAAGAUUUUUUGGUUGGGGAUGGACUCGCGGCCUAUCAGCUUGUUGGUGAGGUAAUGGCUCACCAAGGCGACGACGGGUAGCCGGCCUGAGAGGGUGACCGGCCACACUGGGACUGAGACACGGCCCAGACUCCUACGGGAGGCAGCAGUGGGGAAUAUUGCACAAUGGGCGAAAGCCUGAUGCAGCAACGCCGCGUGAGGGAUGACGGCCUUCGGGUUGUAAACCUCUUUUAGUAGGGAAGAAGCGAAAGUGACGGUACCUGCAGAAAACCC
This 419-nucleotide ribosomal RNA is filed under the name Curtobacterium sp. EA_L_48. Its description in RNAcentral is "bacterial SSU rRNA". It matches the Rfam family "Bacterial small subunit ribosomal RNA", at positions 59 to 491 of the family's 1533-position model. Lineage: Bacteria; Bacillati; Actinomycetota; Actinomycetes; Micrococcales; Microbacteriaceae. The record is from RNAcentral.